GACGAACGCUGGCGGCGUGCUUAACACAUGCAAGUCGAACGGAAAGGCCCUGCUUUUGUGGGGUGCUCGAGUGGCGAACGGGUGAGUAACACGUGAGUAACCUGCCCUUGACUUUGGGAUAACUUCAGGAAACUGGGGCUAAUACCGGAUAGGAGCUCCUGCUGCAUGGUGGGGGUUGGAAAGUUUCGGCGGUUGGGGAUGGACUCGCGGCUUAUCCGCUUGGUGGUGGGGUAGUGGCUUACCAAGGCUUUGACGGGUAGCCGGCCUGAGAGGGUGACCGGCCACAUUGGGACUGAGAUACGGCCCAGACUCCUACGGGAGGCAGCAGUGGGGAAUAUUGCACAAUGGGCGGAAGCCUGAUGCAGCAACGCCGCGUGCGGGAUGACGGCCUUCGGGUUGUAAACCGCUUUCGCCUGUGACGAAGCGUGAGUGACGGUAAUGGGUAAAGAAGCACCGGCUAACUACGUG
This 468-nucleotide ribosomal RNA is filed under the name uncultured bacterium. RNAcentral describes it as "partial 16S ribosomal RNA". It matches the Rfam family "Bacterial small subunit ribosomal RNA", at positions 28 to 507 of the family's 1533-position model. The record is from RNAcentral.